This 1015-nucleotide ribosomal RNA is filed under the name Acinetobacter baumannii. Its description in RNAcentral is "partial 23S ribosomal RNA". It matches the Rfam family "Bacterial large subunit ribosomal RNA", at positions 1916 to 2925 of the family's 2925-position model. Lineage: Bacteria; Pseudomonadati; Pseudomonadota; Gammaproteobacteria; Moraxellales; Moraxellaceae. The record is from RNAcentral.
AGCCCCAGUAAACGGCGGCCGUAACUAUAACGGUCCUAAGGUAGCGAAAUUCCUUGUCGGGUAAGUUCCGACCUGCACGAAUGGCAUAAUGAUGGCGGCGCUGUCUCCAGCAGAGGCUCAGUGAAAUCGAAAUCGCUGUGAAGAUGCAGUGUACCCGCGGCUAGACGGAAAGACCCCGUGAACCUUUACUGCAGCUUGACACUGAACUUUGACCUUACUUGUGUAGGAUAGGUGGGAGGCUUUGAAGCUGGAACGCUAGUUCCAGUGGAGCCGUCCUUGAAAUACCACCCUGGUAAUGUUGAGGUUCUAACUCUGUCCCGUGAUCCGGGACGAGGACCGUGUCUGGUGGGUAGUUUGACUGGGGCGGUCUCCUCCUAAAGAGUAACGGAGGAGUACGAAGGUGCGCUCAGCGUGGUCGGAAAUCACGCGUAGAGUAUAAAGGCAAAAGCGCGCUUAACUGCGAGACCCACAAGUCGAGCAGGUACGAAAGUAGGUCUUAGUGAUCCGGUGGUUCUGUAUGGAAGGGCCAUCGCUCAACGGAUAAAAGGUACUCUGGGGAUAACAGGCUGAUACCGCCCAAGAGUUCAUAUCGACGGCGGUGUUUGGCACCUCGAUGUCGGCUCAUCUCAUCCUGGGGCUGAAGCAGGUCCCAAGGGUAUGGCUGUUCGCCAUUUAAAGAGGUACGCGAGCUGGGUUUAGAACGUCGUGAGACAGUUCGGUCCCUAUCUACCGUGGGCGCUGGAAAUUUGAGAGGAUCUGCUCCUAGUACGAGAGGACCAGAGUGGACGAACCUCUGGUGUACCGGUUGUGACGCCAGUCGCAUCGCCGGGUAGCUAUGUUCGGAAGGGAUAACCGCUGAAAGCAUCUAAGCGGGAAGCCUACCUCAAGAUAAGAUUUCCCUAGGACUUUAUGUCCUCUAAAGAGCCGUUCGAGACUAGGACGUUGAUAGGUUGGAUGUGGAAGCAUAGUGAUAUGUGAAGCUGACCAAUACUAAUUGCUCGUGAGGCUUGACUAU